UACAGUCAUUUCACGUUGAAACACUGCUUCUCGUGCGAUCACCGAAGUUAAGCAACGUCGCGCUUGGUCAAUAACUAGAUGGGUGACCGCUUGGGAAUACCAGUUGCAG
Non-coding RNA from Acanthosepion pharaonis, 109 nucleotides. Lineage: Eukaryota; Metazoa; Mollusca; Cephalopoda; Sepiida; Sepiidae. The record is from the annotation of a GenBank genome assembly.